Long non-coding RNA from Talpa occidentalis (Iberian mole), 1869 nucleotides. RefSeq lists it as uncharacterized. The record is from RefSeq and is a predicted model, not a curated record. The transcript has 7 exons. NCBI's taxonomy places the organism in Eukaryota, Metazoa, Chordata, Mammalia, Eulipotyphla, Talpidae.
GGCACUUAAACAAUUGUAUUAUACGUUAAGUAACAAAAGCGUGAGGCACCUGGAAUCUCAGCAUUUGUUCCUAAUGCCAGCAACAAUAUAAAGCAUUCAAGUGACAUUUGAUAAUGAGCAGACAGUGGAGGCAUUACACACGUCUUUAGAAGAAUCAGACUUCCUACCUUGAAAAGACAGAUGGAGAUUCUAAGGUGACAUUAAUAAGGAAUAGAAGGAUCCUUUUAUAACCUGGUUAUUGUGAGACAUUCCUAAAAAAAGAUCCAGAUAACUUAAGCAAAGAAGAGAUUUACCUCAACUCAGAAAUUUAAAGAAAAAAGGAUCUAUAUAACACCCACUAUAAUUCAAAAAUCCAUUGACAGCUAUGUGAACAAGCUCGGGCCAGUGGGUAGAGGAGGGAAGACCACAGUGGGUGAGGACUUCAGUUAUCUCAGUCAUCGCUCCUGAGGUCAUUAUGAAUCAGGACGCCCCCAUUGGAACACUUGCUAACUGUAGUUACUAGAGCAAGUCCAGUCAAGAUCAGCAUUCAGCCCAGACCAGAAGCACAGCCAAGACAGCCAACCUUUCUGGAGUCUUUUACUCAGUUCUAUCCUGCGGUCAAAAUGCCUGAAAUACUUUGAUCUCAGGUGUUUAAGAAGUUUGAGGGAAAUUUUAAGUGUUACGGUAUUAGAUACGUGAUACUGUUUGGAAUGUAUGCAUUGAGGAAAGCCUAUGAAGUCUCAGAGUAAUCACCAAUUAGAAGACCUGGACUCAUUACUGACUGAAGAUCUUAGAAAGAAAGACCCUGUUACUAUAGCAAAAAGUGAGUGAUAUUUAAUAGUUCUCAAGGAGUAACAUUUCCAAAGGAAAUGAGCACCAGGAAAGGGAAUUGAAGUUAAAGGAGCUAUAUUUAUAUUCUGUAAUGCAACAGCAAGACAUAUAACCUGUUUUGGAAACUACAUCGUAGAGGGAAAAACUAUAUAAUUCUGGACCUCGUUGGACUCAAUCAGAAGAAUUUUAGUGCACAAGAAUAUGUUUUGCAAUUUAAAGGCACAUAUGGAGUCACCAUUAAAGAAACUCAAGUUAUUGUUUUAAACAAGAACAAAAGAAAGCCAAACUGGAUCUUUGUAGAGCAAUGUGGUUUUUAACUUGACUAACAAAAAUAAAGGAUGUCAUAAACAGUAACCAGUUAACUCUUUGGAUUCUGUACAACAUUAAUUGUGCUGUGUUUUUAUAGCAUGUGUUACGUGUCAUAUUCAGGCAAAGAAAUAUAGCAAGCAUCCUCUUCUUAAAGCAACAUGCACUUUUUUUAUGGCUAAUAAAUGUUUAGAGAAUAAAUGACUCAUGUCUUAAAUUGUAAUAUGAGAUAUAGGGUCAACAUAAGUCACAGAUGAGGCAGAUCACUUUGAACUGGUGCUUAGCUGAGUCUUAAAGAAAUUUAUUGAAUUUACAAAGACAAAACAGUAAGAGGAAAUAGAAUAUGCUAAAAGUGAAAUACUUAAAUCACAGUAUUAAGUUGAAUAAUAAUAGUAAUAGUAGUAGCAAACAUUUACAAUCACUUAUAUGAGGCAGUUUUAAGCACUUUGCUUCUACUACCUUUUUUUCAUCAUCAAUUUCUGUCUUAAAAUGAAGAAGCAAGAACCAAAGAGAAAUAUAUGAACUACGUAGGGAGGAUUUUAGAUCCAGACCCAGGUAAUUUCAGAGCCAGUUUACUUUUCUUGUUGAAAGGACUGGAGGUGAAACUUGUUGAUUGCGGGAAUGAAUAAACUUAAUGUUGACCUUUAUAGAUGUUUUAGUUGGUUUGAUUAACUAAUAUAAAGUAUGAACAUGCUCUAUUUUAAAUUCAGUUUAUUGGCUUUUUCUAUGCUCAGUUACAGGAACUAUAAUUCC